RNAcentral lists this ribosomal RNA (1163 nucleotides) under uncultured bacterium. Its description in RNAcentral is "bacterial SSU rRNA". It matches the Rfam family "Bacterial small subunit ribosomal RNA", at positions 8 to 1139 of the family's 1533-position model. The record is from RNAcentral.
AGAGUUUGAUCCUGGCUCAGAACGAACGCUGGCGGCGUGCUUAACACAUGCAAGUCGAGCGAGAAAGGGGGGGCAACUCCCUGAGUAAAGCGGCGCACGGGUGAGUAACGCGUGGGUAACCUACCCCUCGGCGGGGGAUAACGACUCGAAAGGGUCGCUAAUACCGCAUGAGACCACGGGGUCCUCGGACCCUGAGGCCAAAGGCUGCAUCGGCUUGCCGGUGUAAUCACCGGGGGAUGGGCCCGCGUCCGAUUAGCUAGUUGGUGAGGUAACGGCCCACCAAGGCUACGAUCGGUAGCUGGUCUGAGAGGAUGAUCAGCCACACUGGAACUGGAACACGGUCCAGACUCCUACGGGAGGCAGCAGUGAGGAAUAUUGCGCAAUGGGGGAAACCCUGACGCAGCAACGCCGCGUGGGUGAAGAAGGCCUUCGGGUCGUAAAGCCCUUUCGGACGGGACGAAAUUUCCGCGGGGUCAAGCCGCGGAACUUGACGGUACCGUAGGAAGAAGCACCGGCUAACUCCGUGCCAGCAGCCGCGGUAAUACGGAGGGUGCAAGCGUUGUUCGGAAUUACUGGGCGUGAAGCGCGUGUAGGCGGCCUUGCAAGUCAGAUGUGAAAGCCCUCGGCUUAACCGGGGAAGUGCAUCUGAAACUGCUUGGCUUGAGUACGGGAGAGGGAGGCGGAAUUCCCAGUGUAGAGGUGAAAUUCGUAGAUAUUGGGAGGAACACCGGUGGCGAAAGCGGCCUCCUGGACCGAUACUGACGCUGAGACGCGAGAGCGUGGGGAGCAAACAGGAUUAGAUACCCUGGUAGUCCACGCUGUAAACGAUGGGCACUAGGUGUGGGGGGUAUCCACUCCUCCCGUGCCGAAGCUAACGCAUUAAGUGCCCCGCCUGGGGAGUACGGCCGCAAGGUUAAAACUCAAAGGAAUUGACGGGGGCCCGCACAAGCGGUGGAGCAUGUGGUUUAAUUCGACGCAACGCGAAGAACCUUACCUGGGCUUGACAUCCCUGGAACCCCCUGGAAACAGGGGGGUGUCCUCGAAAGAGGAAGCCAGGAGACAGGUGCUGCAUGGCUGUCGCCAGCUCGUGUCGUGAGAUGUUGGGUUGAGUCCCGCAACGAGCGCAACCCUUGUCCUUAGUUGCCAGCAUUCAGUUGGGCACU